UAAACCUCUUUUCUCAAGGAAGAAGAACUGACGGUACUUGAGGAAUCAGCAUCGGCUAACUCCGUGCCAGCAGCCGCGGUAAUACGGAGGAUGCAAGCGUUAUCCGGAAUUAUUGGGCGUAAAGCGUCCGCAGGUGGCACAUCAAGUCCGCUGUUAAAGACCAGGGCUUAACCCCGGGAAGGCAGUGGAAACUGAUGAGCUAGAGUACGGUAGGGGUAGAGGGAAUUCCCAGUGUAGCGGUGAAAUGCGUAGAGAUUGGGAAGAACACCAGUGGCGAAGGCGCUCUACUGGACCUGUACUGACACUCAGGGACGAAAGCUAGGGUAGCGAAAGGGAUUAGAUACCCCUGUAGUCCUAGCCGUAAACGAUGGAUACUAGGCGUUGCUUGUAUCGACCCGAGCAGUGCCGUAGCUAACGCGUUAAGUAUCCCGCCUGGGGAGUACGCACGCAAGUGUGAAACUCAAAGGAAUUGACGGGGGCCCGCACAAGCGGUGGAGUAUGUGGUUUAAUUCGAUGCAACGCGAAGAACCUUACCAGGACUUGACAUCCCGCGAAUCUUGAUGAAAGUUGAGAGUGCCUUAGGGAACGCGGAGACAGGUGGUGCAUGGCU
Molecule: ribosomal RNA, 610 nt
Filed under: Xenococcus sp. RCC2703
Lineage: Bacteria; Bacillati; Cyanobacteriota; Cyanophyceae; Pleurocapsales; Xenococcaceae
Description: bacterial SSU rRNA
Rfam family: Bacterial small subunit ribosomal RNA
Source: RNAcentral